GGGCCUGUAGCUCAGUUGGGAGAGCACCUGGUUUGCAACCAGGGGGUCGGGAGUUCGAACCUCCCCAGGUCCACCA
RNAcentral lists this transfer RNA (76 nucleotides) under Terriglobia bacterium. RNAcentral describes it as "tRNA-Ala". It matches the Rfam family "tRNA". From Rfam's summary of the family: Transfer RNA (tRNA) molecules are approximately 80 nucleotides in length. RNAcentral also lists the same sequence under 1 other name. The record is from RNAcentral. Lineage: Bacteria; Pseudomonadati; Acidobacteriota; Terriglobia.